This 76-nucleotide transfer RNA is filed under the name Fusobacterium necrophorum. RNAcentral's name for it is "tRNA_Thr_GGT". It matches the Rfam family "tRNA". Rfam says of the family: Transfer RNA (tRNA) molecules are approximately 80 nucleotides in length. Lineage: Bacteria; Fusobacteriati; Fusobacteriota; Fusobacteriia; Fusobacteriales; Fusobacteriaceae. The record is from RNAcentral. RNAcentral also lists the same sequence under 14 other names.
GCUGACAUAGCUCAGGUGGUAGAGCAACGGCAUGGUAAGUCGUAGGUCGAUGGUUCGAGUCCAUUUGUCAGCACCA